GGUGGCUCAGUGGUAGAGCACUUGCCUUGCAUGCAUGAGGCCCUGGGUUCUAUUCCUUAGCACCA
This 65-nucleotide transfer RNA is filed under the name Dipodomys ordii (Ord's kangaroo rat). It matches the Rfam family "tRNA". Rfam says of the family: Transfer RNA (tRNA) molecules are approximately 80 nucleotides in length. The record is from Rfam by way of RNAcentral. Lineage: Eukaryota; Metazoa; Chordata; Mammalia; Rodentia; Heteromyidae.